GAUGAACGCUGGCGGCGUGCCUAUACAUGCAAGUCGAGCGAACGGACGAGAAGCUUGCUUUUCUGAUGUUAGCGGCGGACGGGUGAGUAACACGUGGAUAACCUACCUAUAAGACUGGGAUAACUUCGGGAAACCGGAGCUAAUACCGGAUAAUAUUUUGAACCGCAUGGUUCAAAAGUGAAAGACGGUCUUGCUGUCACUUAUAGAUUGAUCCGCGCUGCAUUAGCUAGUUGGUAAGGUAACGGCUUACCAAGGCAACGAUGCAUAGCCGACCUGAGAGGGUGAUCGGCCACACUGGAACUGAGACACGGUCCAGACUCCUACGGGAGGCAGCAGUAGGGAAUCUUCCGCAAUGGGCGAAAGCCUGACGGAGCAACGCCGCGUGAGUGAUGAAGGUCUUCGGAUCGUAAAACUCUGUUAUUAGGGAAGAACAUAUGUGUAAGUAACUGUGCACAUCUUGACGGUACCUAAUCAGAAAGCCACGGCUAACUACGUG
This 496-nucleotide ribosomal RNA is filed under the name uncultured bacterium. RNAcentral's name for it is "partial 16S ribosomal RNA". It matches the Rfam family "Bacterial small subunit ribosomal RNA", at positions 28 to 507 of the family's 1533-position model. The record is from RNAcentral.